UACGAAGGGGGCUAGCGUUGCUCGGAAUCACUGGGCGUAAAGCGCACGUAGGCGGAUCUUUAAGUCAGGGGUGAAAUCCCAGAGCUCAACUCUGGAACUGCCUUUGAUACUGGGUGUCUUGAGUAUGGAAGAGGUGAGUGGAAUUCCGAGUGUAGAGGUGAAAUUCGUAGAUAUUCGGAGGAACACCAGUGGCGAAGGCGGCUCACUGGUCCAUUACUGACGCUGAGGUGCGAAAGCGUGGGGAGCAAACAGG
This 253-nucleotide ribosomal RNA is filed under the name uncultured bacterium. Its description in RNAcentral is "partial 16S ribosomal RNA". It matches the Rfam family "Bacterial small subunit ribosomal RNA", at positions 524 to 776 of the family's 1533-position model. The record is from RNAcentral.